This 1498-nucleotide long non-coding RNA is filed under the name Vitis vinifera (wine grape). RNAcentral's name for it is "long non-coding RNA (VVIN_LNC003381)". The record is from RNAcentral. Lineage: Eukaryota; Viridiplantae; Streptophyta; Magnoliopsida; Vitales; Vitaceae.
UUCCCCAACAAACCAGCCUUGCAGGAAUUGCACCCAUAGCACAAUUGGCUUUGGUCAUUGCUCCAGGCAUAACAGUCCGAGUCUGCAAUCGGAUUGGUGGGGUUCAUCCACAAUGUUGGGUUCACAUACCCAUAAUUGCAGAUUGUUGGAGGUUUACAACACCCUGACUGUACCAUAUUUAAAAAAUAAAAAUAAAAUUAAAAGGGUGAGAAAGGGAAAGACAAAGUAAAAGGCAAAAAAAAAGAAGAAAAACCCACACCUAACCAAUAUCACCAUAGAACAUUAUGCCAAAGCUGGCAACCAUAACUUGCUGCUUUAUUUAUUUGUUUUUUUCCUUAUCUUCUGCAAUAAAGACAAGCUAUGGUCUCCAUCAUUCUAGGUUGAUCCUUCCUUUGCGCCAACCCUUUGUUGCUUUUGUGAUGGGAAGAAUUUUCCUCUCAUGAGAAGUUCAAUAAUGAGUCUAAUGAACCCACACAACAGGGACCCACCUAAGCUAUUUAAAUCCUGACCCUCGAAUCAGAUAGAUCAACUCUUUGAUAUGUGGAGAGGAUGGGGUAGAUGCAUCAACCAGAGGACUAAAGAAUAAAAUUGGACCGUGGGUAUUACCUUUUCUUUAAGCAAAAAUGGGUCCUGGUUUGAAGUUUGAAGACACCUCAUUUAAAUUCAAUACAUUCAUACACUUUUUUUCUAAAAUUGAACAAACUCCAUGUAACCCCAAAAUAAUCUUUUAUCACACUUUACAUUAAAAUCAUUCUACAUUACAUGAUACACAGAAAUCAAAAUUUAUUACUUCCACAGUGUCAGUGUCAUUUAGAUCUCCACAUGAUUUUUUUAGUUCUGUUUUUAUGAAUAAAAGAAACAUGGAGACUUGAAGUUUAAGAAUGUUUGAAUUGCAUUUGAUUUUGUUGUAGAUCAUGGCAUGGGUGAAUGAACCAUAUUUCUCAUCAUUUUCGACUACUUUUUCUACAAUCAAAUAAGAAUAUUUUGUUUUUUCUUCACACUAUGUUGAAUUUGGUGAAAUUAACAACUUGGUAGUUGGUAGUGAAGAAAGAGUGUCUGGAAGAAGAGAAAAGAAGUGGAAUUGAGGAAAAUUGGGAGUUGUGGGGACUUGCCUGAAGAGGAGAGAUGUGAGCCAUGAAGAACUGAUCGGCGGUGAUAUAGUUCUGGCUGAGCUUGGAGCAGACAUCGGACUGAGCGAGGCAAGUCCUGAUCUUGUUCCAGUUUCCGGACUUGGUGACGUAGUUCCUCAGCCACGACGAGAACCCUUCCAGCCGGUACUCCUUGUAGGCGCGGCCGGGGACGACGUAGCUGCCGUCGGAAUGACUAACGACGAAGGCGAAGACGAGGAGGAUGAGGAGGAGGCCGAUGAGGAGCCCCAUACAGAAGAGGUAGAAGGCCAGAAGGCCCUUCUUGUUCCAGUAAGCGCCGACGAAUCCAGCGAGGGAGACGAGCAAGAUGAGGACGCCGAGGAGGGCCACCGGCCAGCGGAAGAGGUGGA